Molecule: long non-coding RNA, 1378 nt
Filed under: Monodelphis domestica (gray short-tailed opossum)
Lineage: Eukaryota; Metazoa; Chordata; Mammalia; Didelphimorphia; Didelphidae
Description: lncRNA (ENSMODG00000045228.1)
Source: RNAcentral
UGGAAACAGUGAUAAAAAUACUACAUGUAUGUAUCCUUCAGAUCUUCAGUCUUCAGUCCUUAUCCAUUUGACAUUCCUUAACAGUAUUUUCUAGGUUUCUUUUUGAAGUACCAUUAUAUAAAGUGGGCAGUAUAGAUUGUGAAGAUUGGAUUUAGCUAUCUCCUGAUUGUAACAAUGAAGAUACUUAGCUCUUUCUUUAUUGUGAAGAUAAAAUUGUAAUCUCCUGGUUGUAACAAUGAAGGUACUUAGCUCUUCCUUUAUGGUGAAGCAAGAAUUGUAAGCUACAAUCUAUUUUUAGAUUUUAACUACAAAAAGGUGUUAAGUAACUACAAAAGGCAAAUUUACCAAAAGAUGUGUUAAGUAACCCAAAAAGAUAAAAUCUAACCAAAGAAGGUGAGAACUAAAGAAUGUGCAGUCCUGGAGAAAAGCAUCUGCUGUGAUUGGUACAGGUGAAAGUUUAGGGGAGAUCACACAAGAGAAAAAGAUCUUUAAAAAGAGGAACAAAAGGCAGGAGAGCAUUUGAUUCAUUUGAUCAUUCAGAUUCAAAUCAUUCAUCCAGACUCAGACAUUUGGACAGUCAUUCAGAGAUUCCACACUGACUUGGAGGAGCACCUGGAAGACCGACCCUUGAGGAGUGAGCAAAAGGCAGACACCCAGACUUCUUUUAGACUGUCACCUUUGGAAUCCUGAUGAUUUGAUUGCUCUUCUCAGAGAGCAGAAACAGAAAAGAAGGGGAAGGGAAAGAAGGUAUGUUCUUUGCUACAUGAAAUGGAGAUGGCCUGGAAAUGGUAUGAUUCACCUGGAUCUAGAUAAGAUUAUGUGAAUGCUCACCAAUUGAGUAUUGACAUUCAACAGUAUUAAUUAGCUGUGCCAAAUCACAUACAGGAAGAAGGUCCAAAGUCACUUUUGUCACUAUCAUCUCUCACUAAAUUUUACUGAAUGAUCUCUCAUCCGGGUUCACAUCAAUAGUCUUUGGGGAAGAAGCAUAUCAAAAGUUCAGUAGUUGAGUUCUAUCUACUGUUUAUCUUAAAGUGAUAUUGUUGUUUCUUUCCUCUUUCCAGCCUGAGGCAUUCUUCUACCUUGAACCUUCUGACAAUUCUAUUUUACCAAUCUCUUUUUUUAAAAUAUUUAAGCCCCUUUACUUUGUUUUUAAGCUAUUUUGCUUUUCUUUUUAAGAACAACACUUUUUUUUUUGUCUCUGGCAACGUGGAGAGCUGAAAAGAAUUUCUUAUGCUCCUUUACCUUCUUUUGCAGAAUAGACCAGCCAGUACUUUCAGGAUAGAUAAUAAUCAGUAGACUAGGACAGAAACAGAACAAGUAUAUACUUCAUUGAAGUUACAAACAAGUCCCAUAUUCCUUGGGGUAUUGUGCUUACUAG